ACACAGGUGCUGCAUGGCUGUCGUCAGCUCGUGUCGUGAGAUGUUGGGUUAAGUCCCGCAACGAGCGCAACCCUUGCCAUCAGUUGCUACGAAAGGGCACUCUGAUGGGACUGCCGGUGACAAACCGGAGGAAGGUGGGGAUGACGUCAAGUCCUCAUGGCCCUUAUAGGUGGGGCUACACACGUCAUACAAUGGCCGGUACAAAGGGCAGCCAACCCGCGAGGGGGAGCCAAUCCCAUAAAGCCGGUCGUAGUCCGGAUCGCAGUCUGCAACUCGACUGCGUGAAGUCGGAAUCGCUAGUAAUCGUGGAUCAGCAUGUCACGGUGAAUACGUUCCCGGGUCUU
Molecule: ribosomal RNA, 344 nt
Filed under: uncultured Hydrogenophaga sp.
Lineage: Bacteria; Pseudomonadati; Pseudomonadota; Betaproteobacteria; Burkholderiales; Comamonadaceae
Description: bacterial SSU rRNA
Rfam family: Bacterial small subunit ribosomal RNA
Source: RNAcentral